GAGUGGGAGGGUUUCUGGGUCGGAAGGUGUGACUCCUCCUAGCGGGGAGUUGGAGAGGUUUGUAGCUGUAAGCACGUGUGAGAGAGAGCAGGCCGUGCCAGAGAUCGAAAGCUGAGAAACCUGGCUGGGAUUUUAUAUACCAGUUAACCUGUCGGGCUGCAGUAAAUGACCUUGACAUCUCCGUAAAGACUUUCUGAACCGCCAACUCAGUUCUUUUUUCUGCUUCCUUUUCCACUUCAGACACCAGUCCCUCAGGUUUACCUGGCCCAGCCUCAGGGUCAAGGGAGUUGUCUCUGGUCAUAUCGUGGCUCCCCCUUUGAUAGGACUGCAGAGGAGAGGGAGCAUCCUGUAUCUCAGAAGAGAGAAUGGGCAUUCUUUAGCCAGAAGGAGCGGAGACCAUUGCCACCUUCCCACUGCAGGGAAAUAGAACAUCCUGUCCAGCAUCUUAGUAGAAACAAAGUAUUGUCUGGGGAAGACGGGACCAGGGCAUCACCACCAUGAGCCACGUCUGGUCCAUGAACUGUCAUCUCUCCACGCCCCUCCUUCUUCUAGAUGGUCUCAAGGGAUGGUGUGCUGUUUUCUCAGGCUUUUGCUUUUCUAGAAAUCUGACUAAUCUUAGAAGCAGUCAGGAAUUAUAUGUAAGAAAGAAACUCCCCCUUUCGACAUGCCCCUGACACAGCUUGCUUGAAAGAAGGUACUCCUGAGCUGCUUUAAUGGGCAGUAGAACCUGUGAAAUUCAGCAUGCCUGGAAGCUAUGUGCUCAGAUUCCCACUAUGCACUAAGAAGCUCUGUCUGUUGUGUUUUGAAAUUGGGUAUUUGGUCUUUAAAAU
This is a long non-coding RNA of Bos taurus (domestic cattle), 830 nucleotides long. NCBI's taxonomy places the organism in Eukaryota, Metazoa, Chordata, Mammalia, Artiodactyla, Bovidae. The record is from Ensembl.